CUAUGCGCCUUGCCAGCCCGCUCAGGUGUGCCAGCAGCCGCGGUAAUACGUAGGGAGCAAGCGUUGUCCGGAUUUACUGGGUGUAAAGGGUGCGUAGGCGGCAAUGCAAGUCAGAUGUGAAAUCUAUGGGCUCAACCCAUAAACUGCAUUUGAAACUGCGUUGCUUGAGUGAAGUAGAGGCAGGCGGAAUUCCCCGUGUAGCGGUGAAAUGCGUAGAGAUGGGGGGAACACCAGUGGCGAAGGCGGCCUGCUGGGCUUUAACUGACGCUGAGGCACGAAAGCGUGGGUAGCAAACAGG
This 298-nucleotide ribosomal RNA is filed under the name uncultured bacterium. RNAcentral's name for it is "partial 16S ribosomal RNA". It matches the Rfam family "Bacterial small subunit ribosomal RNA", at positions 471 to 776 of the family's 1533-position model. The record is from RNAcentral.